AUACCUUGCAUUAUGUAAAUGAUUAAAAUAGCGAUAUACAAACGUAUCAUUAUGUCAACAGUACAAAGUUAGUGAAUUGUAAUUUAUUGGCUUUGCAAUCGAAGGUGUACUAGGCCAAACAUACAUAAAAUUACUAGGUAUAAUCAUGAAGUUCGUUCGGUACUCUUCAAACUAUUAUAGUCAAUAUCACAGACGUAAAUUGGCGAACUCCGAA
This 214-nucleotide long non-coding RNA is filed under the name Mytilus galloprovincialis (Mediterranean mussel). The record is from RNAcentral. Lineage: Eukaryota; Metazoa; Mollusca; Bivalvia; Mytilida; Mytilidae.